UACGGGAGGCAGCAGUGGGGAAUUUUGGACAAUGGGGGCAACCCUGAUCCAGCAAUGCCGCGUGAGUGAAGAAGGCCUUCGGGUUGUAAAGCUCUUUUGUCAGGGAAGAAACAGCAGCUCUAACACAGUCUGCGAAUGACGGUACCUGAAGAAUAAGCACCGGCUAACUACGUGCCAGCAGCCGCGGUAAUACGUAGGGUGCAAGCGUUAAUCGGAAUUACUGGGCGUAAAGCGUGCGCAGGCGGUUAUACAAGACAGGCGUGAAAUCCCCGGGCUUAACCUGGGAAUGGCGUCUGUGACUGUAUGACUAGAGUGUGUCAGAGGGGGGUAGAAUUCCACGUGUAGCAGUGAAAUGCGUAGAUAUGUGGAGGAAUACCAAUGGCGAAGGCAGCCCCCUGGGAUAACACUGACGCUCAUGCACGAAAGCGUGGGGAGCAAACAGGAUUAGAUACCCUGGUAGUCCACGCCCUAAACGAUGCCGACUAGUUGUUGGGAAUUUACAUUCUCAGUAACGUAGCUAACGCGUGAAGUCGGCCGCCUGGGGAGUACGGUCGCAAGAUUAAAACUCAAAGGAAUUGACGGGGA
RNAcentral lists this ribosomal RNA (585 nucleotides) under uncultured Polynucleobacter sp. RNAcentral describes it as "bacterial SSU rRNA". It matches the Rfam family "Bacterial small subunit ribosomal RNA", at positions 340 to 919 of the family's 1533-position model. Lineage: Bacteria; Pseudomonadati; Pseudomonadota; Betaproteobacteria; Burkholderiales; Burkholderiaceae. The record is from RNAcentral.